RNAcentral lists this ribosomal RNA (445 nucleotides) under uncultured bacterium. Its description in RNAcentral is "bacterial SSU rRNA". It matches the Rfam family "Bacterial small subunit ribosomal RNA", at positions 331 to 792 of the family's 1533-position model. The record is from RNAcentral.
CCAGACUCCUACGGGAGGCAGCAGUGGGGAAUAUUGCACAAUGGGGGGAACCCUGAUGCAGCGACGCCGCGUGGGUGAAGGAGUAUUUCGGUAUGUAAAGCCCUAUCAGCAGGGAAGAACAAUGACGGUACCUGACUAAGAAGCACCGGCUAAAUACGUGCCAGCAGCCGCGGUAAUACGUAUGGUGCAAGCGUUAUCCGGAUUCACUGGGUGUAAAGGGAGCGUAGACGGCCAUGCAAGCCAGGGGUGAAAGCCCGGGGCCCAACCCCGGGACUGCCCUUGGAACUGCAUGGCUGGAGUGCGGGAGGGGCAGGCGGAAUUCCUGGUGUAGCGGUGAAAUGCGUAGAUAUUAGGAGGAACACCAGUGGCGAAGGCGGCUUACUGGACUGUAACUGACGUUGAGGCUCGAAAGCGUGGGGAGCAAACAGGAUUAGAUACCCUUGUA